This 422-nucleotide ribosomal RNA is filed under the name uncultured bacterium. RNAcentral describes it as "bacterial SSU rRNA". It matches the Rfam family "Bacterial small subunit ribosomal RNA", at positions 355 to 774 of the family's 1533-position model. The record is from RNAcentral.
UAAGGAAUAUUGGACAAUGGAGGCAACUCUGAUCCAGCCAUGCCGCGUGAAGGAAUAAGGCCCUAUGGGUUGUAAACUUCUUUUAGACGGGACAAAACCCCUUUACGUGUAAAGGGUUGAUGGUACUGUCAGAAUAAGCACCGGCUAACUCCGUGCCAGCAGCCGCGGUAAUACGGAGGGUGCGAGCGUUAUCCGGAUUUACUGGGUUUAAAGGGUGCGUAGGUGGGCUUAUAAGUCAGUGGUGAAAUCUCCGAGCUUAACUUGGAAACUGCCGUUGAUACUAUAGGUCUUGAAUUAUCUGGAGGUCAGCGGAAUAUGUCAUGUAGCGGUGAAAUGCUUAGAUAUGACAUAGAACACCAAUUGCGAAGGCAGCUUACUACAUAUAAAUUGACGCUGAGGCACGAAAGCGUGGGGAUCAAACA